RNAcentral lists this ribosomal RNA (641 nucleotides) under Andesipolis sp. AZR-2005. RNAcentral's name for it is "eukaryotic LSU rRNA". It matches the Rfam family "Eukaryotic large subunit ribosomal RNA", at positions 386 to 798 of the family's 3401-position model. The record is from RNAcentral. Lineage: Eukaryota; Metazoa; Arthropoda; Insecta; Hymenoptera; Braconidae.
CCUGAGAAACCCAAAAGAUCGAAUGGGGAGAUUCAUCGUCAGCGUAUUUGAUAUAUAUAUGAGUUAUGAUAUGAAUUGUCCUCUCACGGGGAUAUUAAUUUGUACAUACUUGUAUUAUUUUAUUGUUGAAUAUUGUCGGCGUGCACUUCUCCCCUAGUAGGACGUCGCGACCCGUUGAGUGUCGAUCUACGGCCCGAUUGGGUAGCCUUUAAUUGUAAUUAAUUAAAGACCAGUUGGUGUUUUCUGAUCGACUGCUCGGCGGUACUCGUACGGUAUUGAGUCGCAUUUUAAUAUGCGUUCACACCCGUCGCAAGCGAGGCCAGUCACCUGAUAGUACGGACCUAGUGCCGUCGUUGGGCCUGGCCAGCUGUUGGCUGUUGCGGUGUUCUGUAACUGACUCUUAAUUUUUAUACCGGUCAGCGACGCUACUGCUUUGGGUACUUUCAGGACCCGUCUUGAAACACGGACCAAGGAGUCUAACAUGUGCGCGAGUCAUUGGGAUUAUUUUAUUAAAUUAAACCUAAAGGCGCAAUGAAAGUAAAGAUCGUCCUUGCGUCGAUCGAGGGAGGAUGAGCCGUGUUACGAUGCGGCUCCGCACUCCCGGGGCGUCUCAUUCUCAUUGCGAGAAGAGGCGCACCCAG